This 647-nucleotide long non-coding RNA is filed under the name Salvia miltiorrhiza (redroot sage). RNAcentral's name for it is "long non-coding RNA (SMIL_LNC003761)". The record is from RNAcentral. Lineage: Eukaryota; Viridiplantae; Streptophyta; Magnoliopsida; Lamiales; Lamiaceae.
AUAAUCACAAAUUUGUCACUCAAUUUGAAAUUAAUUUGAAAUUGAGAACUCCUUUUUAAUAUAGUAUAAUAUGCAUGCGAGUUUUUCAUCAGGUUUGGGCAAGGAUUAUAUUAUUACAUGGGUAUUUCAAUAGUGUUUUUGUAGUAUGGAGAGGUGGCAAAUACACAGAAACUAUAUACUAUUUUUUUAAAAAAAACGAGAAACUAUAUACUACUUUAAUUUAAGGAUAUCCACCAUGGGUCACAAAGAAAUAUACAUAGACAUCCUAUAAAAUUAAAUAGCAGAGGUAGUUACAUUUAAUAAUUCAUAGUAUAGCAUUUAACAUGAUGAUCGUGAAUUGAUGAAUCUACUAAACAGUGGAAGCAAAGUCUAAAGAAUGAAGUCAUAUAUAGCUAAUUCCACCAAAAUCCAAAUCCCCACAUUAAUUAAUUUUACCAACUCUUGUAAAAAGAAGGAAACAAAUGGAAUAAGAAUACAUUAAAAAAAAAAAUCACUUACCAGGAAGAUGGCUGCCCCGCGUCCGGCGACUGGACGAAUGGAGGGGGUAGCUAAUUCCUGAUCGGCAACUGGUGACUUGAACGGACGGAGGGACGACUGGAACCGACAGAAAUCAAAUGAACACAUAUCAAAAUCAAAGAGAAAAGCUA